Molecule: ribosomal RNA, 460 nt
Filed under: uncultured bacterium
Lineage: Bacteria
Description: partial 16S ribosomal RNA
Rfam family: Bacterial small subunit ribosomal RNA
Source: RNAcentral
CCUACGGGUGGCAGCAGUGAGGAAUAUUGGUCAAUGGGCUUACGCCUGAACCAGCCAAGUCGCGUGAGGGAAGACUGCCCUAUGGGUUGUAAACCUCUUUUGUCAGGGAGCAACGCCGGCUACGUGUAGCCGGACUGAGAGUACCUGAAGAAAAAGCAUCGGCUAACUCCGUGCCAGCAGCCGCGGUAAUACGGAGGAUGCGAGCGUUAUCCGGUUUUAUUGGGUUUAAUGGGUGCGUAGGCGGAAUGCCAAGUCAGCGGUAAAAUCGCGGGGCUCAACCUCGCUCCGCCGUUGAAACUGGCGGUCUUGAGUGGGCGAGAAGUAUGCGGAAUGCGUGGUGUAGCGGUGAAAUGCAUAGAUAUCACGCAGAACUCCGAUUGCGAAGGCAGCAUACCGGCGCCCAACUGACGCUGAAGCACGAAAGCGUGGGUAUCGAACAGGAUUAGAUACCCCUGUAGUC